This 253-nucleotide ribosomal RNA is filed under the name uncultured bacterium. Its description in RNAcentral is "partial 16S ribosomal RNA". It matches the Rfam family "Bacterial small subunit ribosomal RNA", at positions 524 to 776 of the family's 1533-position model. The record is from RNAcentral.
AACGUAGGAUCCGAGCGUUAUCCGAAUUCACUGGGCGUAAAGCGCGAGUAGGCGGCCGGAUAAGUUGGAUGUAAAAUCUCCCGGCUCAACUGGGAGAGGACGUACAAGACUGUUUGGCUAGAGGGCGAUAGAGGGAGGCGGAAUUCCCGGUGUAGUGGUGAAAUGCGUAGAUAUCGGGAGGAACACCAGAGGCGAAGGCGGCUUCCUGGAUCGUACCUGACGCUGAGAUGCGAAAGCUAGGGGAGCAAACGGG